ACGGAAGGCAGCAGUGGGGAAUAUUGGGCAAUGGGCGAAAGCCUGACCCAGCAACGCCGCGUGAAGGAAGAAGGUCUUCGGAUUGUAAACUUCUUUUAUGAGGGACGAAGGACGUGACGGUACCUCAUGAAUAAGCCACGGCUAACUACGUGCCAGCAGCCGCGGUAAUACGUAGGUGGCAAGCGUUAUCCGGAUUUACUGGGUGUAAAGGGCGCGUAGGCGGGAAGGCAAGUCAGGUGUGAAAUCUAUGUGCUUAACCCAUAAACUGCAUUUGAAACUGUCUUUCUUGAGUGCUGGAGAGGUAGACGGAAUUCCUUGUGUAGCGGUGAAAUGCGUAGAUAUAAGGAAGAACACCAGUGGCGAAGGCGGUCUACUGGACAGUAACUGACGCUGAGGCGCGAAAGCGUGGGGAGCAAACAGGAUUAGAUACCCUGGUA
RNAcentral lists this ribosomal RNA (437 nucleotides) under uncultured Oscillospiraceae bacterium. RNAcentral's name for it is "partial 16S ribosomal RNA". It matches the Rfam family "Bacterial small subunit ribosomal RNA", at positions 341 to 792 of the family's 1533-position model. Lineage: Bacteria; Bacillati; Bacillota; Clostridia; Eubacteriales; Oscillospiraceae. The record is from RNAcentral.